UAGCUUAGUUGGUAAAGCGCCACCUUGCCAAGGUGGAGACCGCGGGUUCGAGCCCCGU
This 58-nucleotide transfer RNA is filed under the name Butyrivibrio sp. ob235. RNAcentral describes it as "tRNA_Gly_GCC". It matches the Rfam family "tRNA", at positions 8 to 63 of the family's 71-position model. Rfam says of the family: Transfer RNA (tRNA) molecules are approximately 80 nucleotides in length. Their secondary structure includes four short double-helical elements and three loops (D, anti-codon, and T loops). Lineage: Bacteria; Bacillati; Bacillota; Clostridia; Lachnospirales; Lachnospiraceae. The record is from RNAcentral.